This 106-nucleotide small RNA is filed under the name Chryseobacterium sp. FH1. RNAcentral describes it as "Flavo-1 RNA". It matches the Rfam family "Flavo-1 RNA". Lineage: Bacteria; Pseudomonadati; Bacteroidota; Flavobacteriia; Flavobacteriales; Weeksellaceae. The record is from Rfam by way of RNAcentral.
CCAUAGCCCCGAUUGCAACGGCAUCCUUUUUUUGUUUUUGGAUCAAUUACUUUUUGAUGACCAAACGUCGUAACAAAAAAAGAUAUAGUGGAAAGCGGGAUCAAGC